UAAUACGUAGGGUGCAAGCGUUGUCCGGAAUUAUUGGGCGUAAAGAGCUCGUAGGCGGUCUGUCGCGUCGGCUGUGAAAACUCGGGGCUCAACCCCGAGCCUGCAGUCGAUACGGGCAGACUAGAGUGCUGUAGGGGAGACUGGAAUUCCUGGUGUAGCGGUGAAAUGCGCAGAUAUCAGGAGGAACACCGGUGGCGAAGGCGGGUCUCUGGGCAGUAACUGACGCUGAGGAGCGAAAGCGUGGGGAGCAAACAGGAUUAGAUACCCUGGUAGUCCACGCCGUAAACGGUGGGUGCUAGGUGUGAGCGGUAUUCCACGCCGUUCGUGCCGCAGCUAACGCAUUAAGCACCCCGCCUGGGGAGUACGGCCGCAAGGCU
RNAcentral lists this ribosomal RNA (377 nucleotides) under uncultured bacterium. RNAcentral describes it as "bacterial SSU rRNA". It matches the Rfam family "Bacterial small subunit ribosomal RNA", at positions 521 to 895 of the family's 1533-position model. The record is from RNAcentral.